UUGACCUCAUGAUUCGCCGGCGGCAGAAUGCCUAAACUAAUAGUUUAGUUGAAAGGGCCGAUCGGAAUGGCCGAAGUCAGUCC
RNAcentral lists this transfer RNA (83 nucleotides) under Planctomyces sp. SH-PL14. RNAcentral describes it as "tRNA-Ile". The record is from RNAcentral. Lineage: Bacteria; Pseudomonadati; Planctomycetota; Planctomycetia; Planctomycetales; Planctomycetaceae.